UUCAUUUGCCCUCAUCUAUUUCAGGUGUGGAGCCAAUUAGCAGCCAUUUGCAGGAUGGUUGUGUUAGAGCUGCUGCUUCCUUCCAAACUAUUACCCGGCUCCGCUAAUUCUCACGUCCCGUUUUAAAACACGGCGAUGAGGUGUUGUGUUUGCUUUAUUUAAUACCCGCUCCUCUACAGCAAAGAUUUGUUUUUCCUCGAUGCUGUCCUGGGCUUAUCCGGGGGAAUGUUCAGGGGGAAAAAAGCGAGGACAACGCACAGCAGAACUCAGAGAUGACGAAUACCGGAGCGGCCCCGCGCUGGGCUGACGGUGACCCGUCCGCUCGGAGCUCCGAGCCGGGCGGAGCCGCGGUGCCGUUCUGGAGCCGCCCGCCGCCCCGUGGAGGCCGCAGCGCGGAGCCGCUCGGCUCCGCCCGCACUGCGUGCCGCGAUCCCACAAAACCGCUCCUCUGCGCCCGGAGCCGCGGCACGCCGGGGAGCCGCCCCACGUGGAGCGGCGGGCGAUGCUCGGCGGCCCCGCAGAGGUUUCUAAGGACGCCGGCUGUCUCGCGCUGCCCUCCGAAAGAGCGCCUCGAAGCGCGGCUCCGUCCGUUCCCCGCGCACAGCCGUGCCCGCGCUGCUCGCCCCGCCGUGGCCGUGAGCGCUGCCCGGCGCGGCCGCGCGUCCCUCCGUGCGGUGCGGAGAGCGGCCGCACAGCGGCACAUCGCGUUCCAACGCUGCAUUUCGCGGCGCUGUUUUUCUCUCCGCAGGGCGUUUCUCCACAACUCACCGUUUUAAUCCUUGCUCUCCGUUUCUUUGUUCGGCUGGAACGCUUUUGUUCUCUGAGCGUUUAGUGACACGGGAACCUACAAUUCUCUUCGCCCUCUGCAUUAGGGACGGUUUUAUUUACUCGGUACUGAGGUACAUACUUUUGUUCCCACCCCACGGAGUUGAGUCGUUCCGUGAUGUUGGCCAUUAUCUGUGAUUCUGGUGGCAUCCCUGGUGGGUUUUUACACGACGUGCCCAUCCGGAAGGUGUCAGCCAAAUGUUGUGGGUGUAAAUCUAACUUACAAACAAAACAAAAUCCAAAACUUCUCGGAUGCUCACAGACUUUUUCUGAGCUUAAAUGUUUCAGUAGUGUUCAGUGUUUAGUACUUCAGCGUUAGUAAAUCUCUCAGUGCUGUAAAUGAUCACCUGUACAUCCUGGAGGUAGUCAGAGCAUUGAAGAUAACAAUCGCAUGUAUGUUUUUGAAAACUGUAACCAUAUAAAUCCAAAAUGGAAAAGGUCUUUUAGAGAUGGUCCCAGCAGAGGUCAAAAAUCUCUCCUAAGCAUUUUGGGAUGGGUUUUAAGUGCACUCAGGAGCUGUGGAAGGCGAUCUCCUGGUAUGCGGCAGACAGGUUGGUGCCUGGCUGUGCUGCUGCCCCUCAGCAAAGUGCUUCUGGGCCGUGGGAAAUGAUGGCAGGGCAGCUUCAGAGAGAGGCAUUCGAUCUCAUCCUCAAUCAAAGGCUUUUCCAAUCCGAGGUGCUGAGAUCUGCAGGGCCAUUUAUCCGACUGCUGCCCUUCGCUGGGAAGCAGGUGCUCUAUUGAUGAACUUCUGUAAAUUCUGAAGCAAACUUAGAAUUCUUCAGAUGCAAAAUAUUCAUUAUUGCCUCAAGUGGUGAUACAGAGCAUCCAACCUUUAGUUCUCUGCAUUUUUCCUUCAGAUGUACCCAUCUGUCCUGCAGGAGAGGGCAGCUCCCUGCUGGUGGCAUCCUGAGAGUCCCGGCAGAACGAGCAGAGCCAGAAAAGAGAGUGCUGCAGCCUGGGUGCACCAUAGUGCUGUUAGAUUGGGGUUCUCUUGAUAUCCCUUUAAUUACUGUGCUAAUUAAAAAAUAGCGAUUUUCAAUAAGCUUCUGUAAAAACUGUGGAAGCAUCUUUGUUCAAAUGCUUUUUAAAAAUAAUCAGCUCUCAAAAUUGGAGCUCCCAGAGCAAAGGUAUCCUCAUUGUGAUACCUCAGGUCUGUCAGUACUGGUAACAAUUGUUAGACUUUACAUUUAAUUCUAAACAGGUUAAUAAAAUACAUUAAUUCCACGUUGAGUCUUACACAGAUAACUUCCAGUGAAAGAAAAGGAGGAAUUCCAUGCCUUAUUUUGCUCAUAUCUCAGUGUUUAAGUGAUGGAGCACGCAGCAGUCAGAGUAUUUGGGUACGGAUCCCCCACACCUGUCUGUCACAGUGCUGAGGUGCAGCUCUGUGGGGUUGGGGCGGUGCGCAGGGCUGCAGACAGGUGCACAAACACUGCCCCUUUGAGGUGCUACCUGCUCUUUACUGGACAUUUAUUGCAAGUCGAUGCAAUUUCACAAAGCACCUGCAUGCAAUAAAAACCUAUUACAUGUGUGAGGCCUUAAGGAAAUUAACGGUUCCUCCCUAGGGAUGCAUAUUUUGUUAAGAUGUUUAUUACAGAUGAAGUGGUCCUGGGGUAAAACAUUAACAAGUUGUAGAGUGAUAAAAGGAAUUUUAUCAUUUCUCAGUGACAUAAAUAGGAAGAAACCUUUAACUAAAUCUAUAAAAUUCCUGAUUCCUAAUGAAUUUGCUUUAACUAUUUAUUAACUGGCUGGGCCCAUUCACGCUGCAAUUUGCUUUUCUUCUUUCUGUCCCCUUUUUCCCCCGGCGCUGUCUGGGAUCUGCUCUGAGCUCCGCUACACAGAAAAGAAACUUCACCUCUGUAUCAGCUUAAAAAUAAUAAUAAUUCUCCCUUGUGAGUUUAAGGCAGAGCAAUAAAACUCUGUAAUCAGUGUGAUACUGAUUUUCAUCAUUGAAUGUGACCUUAACAUUCUGUACUGUUGUCGUAAUGUCAGCUCAUACCACUUAAGUCAUGCGUUAUAUUUUUAGGUUCAGAAUGGUAACUUAUUUUUUUAGUUACUUUUAGAAAUGCAAAUUCUUUUUCA
This is a long non-coding RNA of Phasianus colchicus (ring-necked pheasant), 2904 nucleotides long. RefSeq lists it as uncharacterized. NCBI's taxonomy places the organism in Eukaryota, Metazoa, Chordata, Aves, Galliformes, Phasianidae. The record is from RefSeq and is a predicted model, not a curated record.